UACGUAGGUGGCAAGCGUUAUCCGGAAUUAUUGGGCGUAAAGAGCGCGCAGGUGGUUGAUUAAGUCUGAUGUGAAAGCCCACGGCUUAACCGUGGAGGGUCAUUGGAAACUGGGGAACUUGAGUGCAGAAGAGGAGAGUGGAAUUCCAUGUGUAGCGGUGAAAUGCGUAGAGAUAUGGAGGAACACCAGUGGCGAAGGCGGCUUCCUGGUCUGUAACUGACACUGAGGCGCGAAAGCGUGGGGAGCAAACAGGAUUAGAUA
This 261-nucleotide ribosomal RNA is filed under the name uncultured prokaryote. Its description in RNAcentral is "partial 16S ribosomal RNA". It matches the Rfam family "Bacterial small subunit ribosomal RNA", at positions 524 to 784 of the family's 1533-position model. The record is from RNAcentral.